Molecule: ribosomal RNA, 336 nt
Filed under: Escherichia coli
Lineage: Bacteria; Pseudomonadati; Pseudomonadota; Gammaproteobacteria; Enterobacterales; Enterobacteriaceae
Description: bacterial SSU rRNA
Rfam family: Bacterial small subunit ribosomal RNA
Source: RNAcentral
UUAAAUUGAAGAGUUUGAUCAUGGCUCAGAUUGAACGCUGGCGGCAGGCCUAACACAUGCAAGUCGAACGGUAACAGGAAGAAGCUUGCUUCUUUGCUGACGAGUGGCGGACGGGUGAGUAAUGUCUGGGAAACUGCCUGAUGGAGGGGGAUAACUACUGGAAACGGUAGCUAAUACCGCAUAACGUCGCAAGACCAAAGAGGGGGACCUUCGGGCCUCUUGCCAUCGGAUGUGCCCAGAUGGGAUUAGCUAGUAGGUGGGGUAACGGCUCACCUAGGCGACGAUCCUUAGCUGGUCUGAGAGGAUGACCAGCCACACUGGAACUGAGACACGGUC